GAGCGGACACGAAGUUAACUGUAGCCUCUCUGGGGGACGUUAACGGCGUCGAGCGAAGGACGGGUGAGUAAGGCCGAGGAAAUGGCCCUGAUGUGGGGAAUAACCAUUGAAAACGAUGGCUAAUACCGCUUGAUGCCUACAGGCCAAAGAGGGGGACCUUCGGGCCUCUCGCGUUGGAUAUGCCUAGGAGGGAUUAGCUAGUUGGGGAGGUAAGGGCUCACCAAGGCGACGAUCCCUAACUGGACUGAGAGGAUGAUCACCCUGACUGUGACUGAGACACGGUCCUCACUCCUACGGGAGGCAGCAGUGAUCUUUAUUGCAGAAUGAGCGCAAGCCUGAUGCAGCCCUGCCGCGUGUGUGAAGAAGGCCUUCCGGUUGUAAAGCACUUUCAGUCAUGAGGAAGGUUUAAGCAACUGUAGCGGAUUUAUUUGACGUUAGCGACAGAACAAGCACCGGCUAACUCCGUGCCAGCAGCCGCGGUAAUACGGAGGGUGCGAGCGUUAAUCGGAAUUACUGGGCGUAAAGCGCAUGCAGGUGGUUUGUUAAGACGUAUGUGAAAGCCCGGGGCUCAACCUCGGAAUAUNAUUUGAAACUGGCUUACUAGAGUACUGUAAAAGGGGGUAGAAUUUCAGGUGUAGCGGUGAAAUGCGUAGAGAUCUGAAGGAAUACCGGUGGCGAACUCUUCCCCUGGACAGAUACUGACACUCAGAUGCGAAAGCGUGCGAGCAAAUUAGAUUACAUACCCUGCUACUCCACGACGUAAACGAUGUCUACUUGUAGAGUUGUGGCCUCGAUCCGUGCUUUCGGAGCUCACUCGUUAAUCAGACCGCCUGGGUGAGUACGGUCGCAUGAUUCUCACUCAAAUGAAUUGACGGGCCGCCCGCACAAUCGGAGGAGCAUGUAGCGCGCGGAUUAGAUAUACCUGGUAGUUCCNCCGUAAACGAUGAGUCUAUAAGUGUUAGAGGGUUUCCACCCAUUCCCAGAGAUAGGGCGUUCCCUUUCGGGGGUCAGAAACACAGGUGGCACAUGGUUGUUCUCAUCUUGUUUCGAAAGAUUGGGGUAAAAGUCCCACAGAGAGCACACCCUUUCAUCUUAGUCCACAGCAUUCAGUUGGGCACUCCAAGGAGACUGCCGGUGACAAACCGGAGGAAGGUGGGGAUGACGUCAAAUCAUCAUGCCCCUUAUGACUAGGGCUACACACGUGCUACAAUGGAGCGUACAAAGGGCUGCGAGACCGCGAAAUUGAGCGAAUCCCAAAAAACCAUUCUCAGUUCGGAUUGCAGUCUGCAACUCGCCUCCAUGAAGUCGGAAUCGCUAGUAAUCGCGGAUCAGCAUGCCGCGGUGAAUACGUUCCCGGGCCUUGUACACACCGCCCGUCACCCCCCGAGAGUGGGUAACACCAAGAAGUCGUGUAGUUACGGUUACGCUGUCACGAUC
Molecule: ribosomal RNA, 1437 nt
Filed under: Vibrio sp.
Lineage: Bacteria; Pseudomonadati; Pseudomonadota; Gammaproteobacteria; Vibrionales; Vibrionaceae
Also listed under: 2 other names
Description: bacterial SSU rRNA
Rfam family: Bacterial small subunit ribosomal RNA
Source: RNAcentral